RNAcentral lists this ribosomal RNA (253 nucleotides) under uncultured bacterium. RNAcentral describes it as "partial 16S ribosomal RNA". It matches the Rfam family "Bacterial small subunit ribosomal RNA", at positions 524 to 776 of the family's 1533-position model. The record is from RNAcentral.
UACGAAGGGGGCUAGCGUUGCUCGGAAUCACUGGGCGUAAAGCGCACGUAGGCGGAUUGUUAAGUCAGGGGUGAAAUCCUGGAGCUCAACUCCAGAACUGCCCUUGAUACUGGAAGUCUUGAGUAUGGGAGAGGUGAGUGGAACUGCGAGUGCAGAGGUGAAAUUCGUAGAUAUUCGCAAGAACACCAGUGGCGAAGGCGGCUCACUGGCCCAUAACUGACGCUGAGGCACGAAAGCGUGGGGAGCAAACAGG